UCCCUGGUGGUCUAGUGGUUAGGACUUGACGCUUUCACUGCUAUGGCCUGGGUUCAAUCCCUUGUCUGGGAA
RNAcentral lists this transfer RNA (72 nucleotides) under Bos taurus (domestic cattle). It matches the Rfam family "tRNA". Rfam says of the family: Transfer RNA (tRNA) molecules are approximately 80 nucleotides in length. RNAcentral also lists the same sequence under 4 other names. The record is from Rfam by way of RNAcentral. Lineage: Eukaryota; Metazoa; Chordata; Mammalia; Artiodactyla; Bovidae.